AUGGGCUCGGGCUCGUUUACUAAACAAGCUUGUUUUUAGGCUCGGGCUCGUUUGCACCCCUAUUGGUGACUGAUGAUGUGAACUCAUGAUCAAAGAAGCUGAACCACAAAAAUGAGACCUUUUUCUUUUCUGAAACAUGUUCCAGGUAAAAAAAGAAACAAUUUCAUGACCAUUGUGCUAUUUGGUGCUAUAGGUACUGCGAUAUCCUUCACCAUGAUUUCAUUUGAUUGCUUGCUGAAGUUACGUAUGAAUUAAUGGCGUGAAGGGAGCUUGGGAGAAAGGUUAGUCUGUUAUUAACCCUAGCAGCAGCGAUGACGACGAUUUCAAAACAGAAUCUGGCCAGUCUGGUGACUUUUAUGUCUGCAGUAAUAUUGGCACUUGAGAAGUUUCUUAUAUAUUGGACAUUUCUGCAUAGUUACAAACAACAAUUGUUUGCUUUAAAUUUAUAUUUUAAACAUUCUUCUUUGUGAAAACCGCUACCUAUUUAACCAGGAGGACAAAACUUAUGUGUAAUUCUUCAAUUGAUGGAUGGAUGUUAUUUCUUUUUGCAGAUAGAAGAACUAGAAAAAGGCAUCAUCGCAGGAGGAAACAAACAAUUUUACAUUAAUUAGUUGAUCUUUUACAAUAUUAUGUUCCUUUGCUUGAGACUUUUGCUAUCACAAAGCAGCAUUCAUUAUAUGAAGAAGGUGCACAAAUCUGUAAGUGGCAAGUCUAAGCUGCAGGCAGGCAGAACACUUGGAGAUUUCACAGUCACCGAUGGCGGGUGGCUUUAUAUUUGAACUUCAAUGAAUCAAAGCAUAUGAUAUGAUUGACUAGAAGCUCCAU
Molecule: long non-coding RNA, 825 nt
Filed under: Helianthus annuus (common sunflower)
Lineage: Eukaryota; Viridiplantae; Streptophyta; Magnoliopsida; Asterales; Asteraceae
Source: RNAcentral